GUAGUCAUAUGCUUGUCUCAAAGAUUAAGCCAUGCAUGUCUAAGUAUAAGCACUCAUACUGUGAAACUGCGAAUGGCUCAUUAAAUCAGUUAUCGUCUAUUUGAUAGUACCUUUACCUGGAUAACCGUGGUAAUUCUAGAGCUAAUACAUGCUAAAAAUCCCGACUUCGGAAGGGAUGUAUUUAUUAGAUAAAAAACCAAUGCCCUCUGGGCUCCUUGGUGAUUCAUAAUAACUUAACGAAUCGCAUGGCCUUGCGCCGGCGAUGGUUCAUUCAAAUUUCUGCCCUAUCAACUUUCGAUGGUAGCGUAGUGGGCUACCAUGGUCUCAACGGGUAACGGGGAAU
Molecule: ribosomal RNA, 343 nt
Filed under: uncultured fungus
Lineage: Eukaryota; Fungi
Description: SSU rRNA
Rfam family: Eukaryotic small subunit ribosomal RNA
Source: RNAcentral